UUAAAUGCUGAGAAGGGAAAUAGUAACAUUUGUAGCUACGAUCAGAGAGUCGAUGGUUGGUGAGAAUCGAUGUAGUACUUUUGUGAAUCCAUCCCAGAGUAGAUUAUUGAACGAAGAUUUUUCUUCUAUUAGAUAAGUUCCGGUUCAUCUUCCGUUAAUAAGAUGCUAAGAGGUUAAGGAUAAUGUCCUUAACAACUAGGGUGGCAACGCGGGUUAACUCUCGUCCCUUUU
RNAcentral lists this non-coding RNA (231 nucleotides) under Anaerobacillus alkalilacustris. Its description in RNAcentral is "T-box sequence". It matches the Rfam family "T-box leader". From Rfam's summary of the family: Uncharged tRNA acts as the effector for transcription antitermination of genes in the T-box leader family. T-boxes are found upstream of many aminoacyl-tRNA synthetase genes and some amino acid biosynthetic genes usually in Gram-positive bacteria. The anticodon of a specific tRNA base pairs to a specifier sequence within the T-box motif, and the NCCA acceptor tail of the tRNA base pairs to a conserved bulge in the T-box antiterminator hairpin. Lineage: Bacteria; Bacillati; Bacillota; Bacilli; Caryophanales; Bacillaceae. The record is from RNAcentral.